This is a long non-coding RNA of Homo sapiens (human), 653 nucleotides long. Ensembl annotates it as DPY19L2 pseudogene 2. Its record names the gene DPY19L2P2. The record is from Ensembl. NCBI's taxonomy places the organism in Eukaryota, Metazoa, Chordata, Mammalia, Primates, Hominidae.
GUCAACGGCUGCGGGGACAAGUCCGUUGAGGCUGCCAGGCGAGUCAGGCCUUUCUGGACCUCGCCUGACUCGGCUGGGCUGUGCCUGAAAUUGACCCAGCUCCACUAGGAAUUAUGAAGAAACAAGGAGUAAGCCCAAAGCCGCUGCAAUCUUCCCGCCCCAGCCCGUCUAAGCGGCCCUGCGGGGCCUCCCCCGCCCGGGAGCGGGAGGUGGAAAAGUCGGCCCUAGGCGGCGGGAAACUGCCGGGGGGCGCCAGGAGGUCCUCCCCGGGGAGGAUCCCAAAUCUGAAAAAGCGAAAAGGCUUGGAGCUAAAGGUGGUGGCCAAGGCCCUUCUCGGCCCCUUCCAGUUCGUCUGUAAUUCCCUGGCGCAGCUCCGGGAAGAGGUGCACGAACUGCAGGCGCGGUGGUUCCCCAGCAGAACCACUCUGCAUCGGGGAAUUGAAAACAAGGAAUUCCCCAACCAAACAGGGGCACAGGCUGUGUUUGCAGCUCCUGUAAAAGCUCCAUACCCAGAGCCGUGUCUCCCAGCUCCCAGCCGUCUUUGUGGCAAUUCUACAUUGGUAAGAUGUAGUUUCAGUUUGAAAUAUUUAAAAACAUUUGAAUUAAAAAUUGCCAUCACUCUUUGCAUACAGUAAAACAAUAACUUCUGGCUA